UACAGAGGUGGCAAGCGUUGUUCGGAAUUACUGGGCGUAAAGGGCGCGUAGGCGGCCUUCUCAGUCGGACGUGAAAUCCCCAGGCUUAACUUGGGAACUGCGUCCGAUACUGGAUGGCUUGAGUGCGGGAGAGGGAUGUGGAAUUCCAGGUGUAGCGGUGAAAUGCGUAGAUAUCUGGAGGAACACCGGUGGCGAAGGCGGCAUCCUGGACCGACACUGACGCUGAGGCGCGAAAGCUAGGGGAGCAAACGGG
RNAcentral lists this ribosomal RNA (253 nucleotides) under uncultured bacterium. RNAcentral's name for it is "partial 16S ribosomal RNA". It matches the Rfam family "Bacterial small subunit ribosomal RNA", at positions 524 to 776 of the family's 1533-position model. The record is from RNAcentral.